CUCUACAUUCUUGAAAUGCUCUUCUCAUGGGAGACAUUAAAUAAGCUUUGAAUUAACUGAAUGUACAGGGUGUACCAUGAACAAUUCUGACAUGUGAUUUAAUCUAUGUGUGACUACAUUUUAAAUACAUUUGGGAAGGAUUGAACAAUGAAGUGGAGCCCAUCAAUAUUGGUACUGAAAAUGAGACAGCUCUGAAGUAAGCCCUUAAGUAAAAGUGCCAUCAAAUGAUUUCUCAGAAAUUAUAAAGAAACAAAAGGACCAUAAACAAGAUAAGGUGGCAUGAGGAAACAUUACAAGUACCUUUCAGAGCUGACUGGCAAAGAAACUCCUGAGGUGAUGGUUCUACCCCAAUAUUACUUCUUCCAAGAGCAACCUAACUGGACUUAUCUUCCUCAGUUCUCUGUGAUGAACUUUUGUAGAGCCACACGAAAGGAGGUUUUUAGCUCUCACCUGUGGUCUUUCUUCAUCAUGCACCUCCUAGAUUCAAAAGUUCAGCAGGGACAUGUCAAGCUAUAUAAAUAAAAACAAACUAAGAAAAAAUGUAACAUUCCAUACCUUAAAACGCAACCUUAAUAACGUGAAAGACCCUGAAGGACUUGAGAUGUGAAGAUUUUCUACCACGGUCUUUGCAUGUAUUAUUUGUGACAGCUGUUCCUUUCUACUC
This 664-nucleotide non-coding RNA is filed under the name Pan troglodytes (chimpanzee). The record is from RNAcentral. Lineage: Eukaryota; Metazoa; Chordata; Mammalia; Primates; Hominidae.